AAUUGAAGAGUUUGAUCAUGGCUCAGAUUGAACGCUGGCGGCAGGCCUAACACAUGCAAGUCGAACGGUAGCACAGAGGAGCUUGCUCCUUGGGUGACGAGUGGCGGACGGGUGAGUAAUGUCUGGGAAACUGCNUGAUGGAGGGGGAUAACUACUGGAAACGGUAGCUAAUACCGCAUAACGUCGCAAGACCAAAGAGGGGGACCUUCGGGCCUCUUGCCAUCNNAUGUGCCCAGAUGGGAUUAGCUAGUAGGUGGGGUAACGGCUCACCUAGGCGACGAUCCCUAGCUGGUCUGAGAGGAUGACCAGCCACACUGGAACUGAGACACGGUCNAGACUCCUACGGGAGGCAGCAGUGGGGAAUAUUGCACAAUGGGCGCAAGCCUGAUGCAGCNAUGCNGCGUGUAUGAAGAAGGCCUUCGGGUUGUAAAGUACUUUCAGCGAGGAGGAAGGYGUUGAGGUUAAUAACCUCAGCRAUUGACGUUACUCGCAGAAGAAGCACCGGCUAACUCNNUGCCAGCAGCCNCGGUAAUACGGAGNGUGCAAGCGUUAAUCGGAAUUACUGGGCGUAAAGCGCACGCAGGCGGUCUGUCAAGUCGGAUGUGAAAUCCCCGGGCUCAACCUGGGNACUGCAUCCNNAACUGGCAGGCUAGAGUCUUGUAGAGGGGGGUAGAAUUCCAGGUGUAGCGGUGAAAUGCGUAGAGAUCUGGAGGAAUACCNGUGGCGAAGGCGGCNCCCUGGACAAAGACUGACGCUCAGGUGCNNAAGCGUGGGGAGCAAACAGGAUUAGAUACCCUGGUAGUCCACGCCGUAAACGAUGUCGACUUGGAGGUUGUGCCCUUGAGGCGUGGCUUCCGGAGCUAACGCGUUAAGUCGACCGCCUGGGGAGUACGGCCGCAAGGUUAAAACUCAAAUGAAUUGACGGGGGCCNGCACAAGCGGUGGAGCAUGUGGUUUAAUUCGAUNNAACGCGAAGAACCUUACCUACUCUUGACAUCCAGAGAACUUGGCAGAGAUGCCNUGGUGCCUUCGGGAACUCUGAGACAG
Molecule: ribosomal RNA, 1046 nt
Filed under: uncultured Citrobacter sp.
Lineage: Bacteria; Pseudomonadati; Pseudomonadota; Gammaproteobacteria; Enterobacterales; Enterobacteriaceae
Description: partial 16S ribosomal RNA
Rfam family: Bacterial small subunit ribosomal RNA
Source: RNAcentral